RNAcentral lists this ribosomal RNA (500 nucleotides) under uncultured bacterium. RNAcentral's name for it is "partial 16S ribosomal RNA". It matches the Rfam family "Bacterial small subunit ribosomal RNA", at positions 30 to 523 of the family's 1533-position model. The record is from RNAcentral.
AUUGAACGCUGGCGGCAUGCCUUACACAUGCAAGUCGAACGGCAGCACGGGAGCAAUCCUGGUGGCGAGUGGCGAACGGGUGAGUAAAGUAUCGGAACGUGCCCAGUCGUGGGGGAUAACGUAGCGAAAGUUACGCUAAUACCGCAUACGAUCUAUGGAUGAAAGCGGGGGAUCGCAAGACCUCGCGCGAUUGGAGCGGCCUAUAUCAGAUUAGGUAGUUGGUGGGGUAAAGGCUCACCAGGCCGACGAUCUGUAGCUGGUCUGAGAGGACGACCAGCCACACUGGGACUGAGACACGGCCCAGACUCCUACGGGAGGCAGCAGUGGGGAAUUUUGGACAAUGGGCGAAAGCCUGAUCCAGCCAUGCCGCGUGCAGGAUGAAGGCCUUCGGGUUGUAAACUGCUUUUGUACGGAACGAAAAGGUUUGGCCUAAUAAGCUGAGCUCAUGACGGUACCGUAAGAAGAAGCACCGGCUAACUACGUGCCAGCAGCCGCAGUAA